Molecule: long non-coding RNA, 1709 nt
Organism: Chinchilla lanigera (long-tailed chinchilla)
Lineage: Eukaryota; Metazoa; Chordata; Mammalia; Rodentia; Chinchillidae
Exons: 3
Source: RefSeq, a predicted model, not a curated record
UUUCAGCCACUAUGCAGUCUCCCUUUAGAGAAGACUGUUAUUCUCCAUGUGGAUGUGAUGAUGAUGAUGAUGAUGAUAAUGGCGACCAUGAUGAUCCUAAUGACAUUCCUUUCACAGUAACCAUCUCUUUUAACCGGGCCACAAAUCGGAGGAGCUUCAAAACCUGCUGCUUCUGGUCCAGUAGGUCUAGCGAAAGCCCAGGAAGCUUUCUAUUUUCAAAGCUUCAUUUAUUAUUUGUUUAAAGCUUUAGCUUUCUAAAAAGCAGCACAUGUGGAGAAGGGGAAUGUGUUUGAGGCAGGUGGUACUGGGAGAGAAGAUGAGACUCCCAAGGACCCGGGCGGAGCAGGAGGGCAGGGUUCCUCUGGGUUUUCUCUCUUUUUUCCCUGUGCUGUCUCCGUGAAGAGCAUGUCUGGGGCCCACUGCAUCCCAAGUUAUGCCACGUCCUUGGGUGUCCUCUGUGAAGUCUCAAUAUUUGACAAGCGGCCCUCUUGCUCUCCUUCUCAGCUUCUUGGACGAGCCUGGAGAAGUCCAACCACGAAGAUAUUUUCCUUUGACACCUACGGGUACCAAACACUCCCUCUGGAGCCGGGCUGUGUGCCCUGGAUGUGGUGCCUGGAGCCUCUCGGAGCAGACUCUUGGGCCAAUGGUUAUUGGACUUGCCCAAGGUCCCUCAGCUGGCCAGGGUUCAAACCUACUCCUGCCUCCCAUAUCGGCUGAAUCCAGCACUGGGAAGCACCAGCACGAGGAGAGUCGCAGGGAGGAGGCAGAGUGAGCCCAGGUAUCAGUGCCCUGGCUCGUCCUGUAUGUCCAUAAUAAUAAGGCUUCAUCCUACAUCAGAUCCUGAACUUCAGAUUUCUCCAAGAUUCGUCCUUUUACAUAGUAGAAGUGUCCUUACAAUAUUUGCUGUCCUUACUCAAGUUAACCUGUCUCUGUGCCUUGGAGCAAAAUGAAUGUAAUAAACCAGUUCAUGUUUUACCAAUAGGAAAUUGAAAGCCAAGAUACCCACAGAGAUUUCACGAAAGUCAGAGGUCUUGUCAAACCUGCCCUUCUUGGGCAGGCCUUUUGGCCCAGUAUGAUACCUGUGGUGUCAACUUGAAUAAUAAAGGCCUUGCUGAUUGGUUCCAUACAGUGCUGGCUGUGUCUGGAUCAUCAACUUACUGAAGAGGGAAGACCCCUUUCCACUUUGGGAGCCACCAACGGAUAGGGCUGUAUCCUGGAUGGAAUAAAAAGGGAAAGAAGAAGGAAGUCUCACUUUUGUUUCUUCAGAGGAACACCCGUCUUUGUCACUAUGGACGUCCAUCUCCAGCCUUCCAGUGCAUGCUCUGCAACCUCCCUGGAUGGACCUUUUGGCUCCCUGAUACAGAUUCACACAGAACUCUGUAUGAACGCCAGGCCUUCCACUUUUGCUUAGAUUCUUCAGCUCUCCAGUGUGCAGACAACCCUUCUGCGUUCUACCACACCUGACCCUCCAGGAGACCACUGAAAGCCUACCUUGUGAAUCCUAUAUACCUGGGAUCUUCCUGUGCUAUCUCAGCUCCCUCAUGUCCCCUUACCUUUCUUCCUUCCUUCUGCUUUUUCCUUCCCCUUUCCCUGAAUUUUUAUGGCCCUGUUGCGCUAGUAACCUGGGUCGUGCCCCAGUAUCUCAGCACCUUGAUAAGAAAGUGCCAACUAUUACAGAAGGAAAGCCCUGGGCCUGUCUUGGUCCCUGA